This 1642-nucleotide long non-coding RNA is filed under the name Mytilus galloprovincialis (Mediterranean mussel). Lineage: Eukaryota; Metazoa; Mollusca; Bivalvia; Mytilida; Mytilidae. The record is from RNAcentral.
AUAAAUAUUUUUAAAAGGAAUGUGAACAUUUUAAAAUUUUACAUUAAUGAGAGUAUAAAACACAUAACAUAUAACCUACAUUUAUAUGAUGGAAUCUUAACUUUCUACCCAAUAGUUCUAUGAGAAUAAUUUUAAAAUUUUGUUAUGCAUUAUUUGAACACCAUCAAUCUUUUUAAAUAUUUCUAAAUUGGAAAAUAUAUCUUUUGCCAGAAUAUAAAGACUGGGGUAUUUCAGCCUUUUCAGGAAAGAAAAAAAGAACUAAUUACUGCAGUGGUUCCUGAACUUCCCUACAGUCAAAACUCAAAUAAUUAGAAAAAAACCUCCUCUUAUUAAUCCUUAACAAGAGGCUGUCACAACGACAGCAAACCGGAUUUAUUAACAUUUAUUUGUGUCCCUUAAAAAUGGUGGAUAUAUUUUAUAUAUAUAUAUGUUUAUGUUUGACCCUAAAUAAUUGACCAGACAAGUUUUAUGUCAUUGUAUACAUUGUGGGUACUACCAAUUAUAGUAUAACAAUAUCAAGUAUUGAAAAGGGGUCAAGAAAAACAAAUUAACUAAUGAAAAUCAGUUUAAUGAAUUACAAGUCAAUUCUUCAUAACUUUACAGUAUGUAAUGUAUACAUAUUCAAUAGUUCUUUUUGAAAGUGCUUUUCUACUUUUCUGUUUUUGUAUUAUGGGUGGAGUCCCUUACCCAGUGGCUUCACAAUAAAAAAAAUUUAAGAGUUUAGGUCUAAGACUCUUAGUACAAGCUAGGUUUACCAGUUCUACCUGUAUUAAGUUGUUUUAAACUUUCCUACUUAUGUUUAUUCAACAUAUUUUUGGUGGUAGCUAUGUUUGUUUGGCCUUAAAGAUUCUGUAUAACACAUUUCUGUAUGAUAUAAUCUUGUCCAUAUAGAUGUUUUUAUUUACAUUCUCAAUUUUAUAGGUAAUGCUUAUCAUACUAAUUAUAGUAUCAUUAAACUCAAUGUAGGGUUAUAGAUCAAUGGGUGUUAUUUGAUGUGCCUAAACUUAAGUAUUUUUAUCUACUUUCACUAGACAUGGCAUUUUUUUUUUUGGUAAAGGUGCAAGUACUAUGCGGAAAAGGAGUAUAAAUUCAAUGACAAAAGCAAAUUGAAAAUGACUAGACUUUGAUUAUAACAAUUAUAUCACAUAUAAACACACAGCACCAAAAAAUAAAAUUCUUUUUAGAGAAAGUUAAUAUAUGAUCAACUAUGUACCAUGAAAAUUUAAAGGAAAUAAAAAUUCCAUGACACAAGAAUAUUGAAAAUAACUAGACUUUCUUAUAACAAUAAAAAAAAAAAGUCAAUCUUAUCUGAAAUCUAAAUACACAGCACCAAACAUUUUUUUUUUAAAUGUAAGUAACCCUUUCAUGGCAGUUAACAAACUCAUUCUGUAUUUCAGGACCAGCCUGACUUACAGUAAAAUCAACAACAAAAAAGAUAAACAAUUGCUUCUAUUUGGUGUAUCCAGUCUUCUGAAAAAGCUGAAAUUCUUAAUUGAUAGAAGUUAUCAUUUUAACAAUACAAAUAUAGACCAAAAAAUCUGUAAAUUGUCAGAAUGUGAUUGCAUUUUUGACAACCGAAAACAAAAUUUUGUAACCUUCAGACAAAGUUUAAAAAAAAAAAAAUUAUCUUCAUAAAUUCCAC